This 510-nucleotide ribosomal RNA is filed under the name uncultured bacterium. RNAcentral describes it as "partial 16S ribosomal RNA". It matches the Rfam family "Bacterial small subunit ribosomal RNA", at positions 28 to 507 of the family's 1533-position model. The record is from RNAcentral.
GACGAACGCUGGCGGCGUGCUUAACACAUGCAAGUCGAACGAAGAGCGAUGGAAGCUUGCUUCUACCAAUCUUAGUGGCGAACGGGUGAGUAACGCGUAAUCAACCUGCCCUUCAGAGGGGGACAACAGUUGGAAACGACUGCUAAUACCGCAUACGAUCUAACCUCGGCAUCGAGGAAAGAUGAAAGGUGGCCUCUAUGUAUAAGCUAUCACUGAAGGAGGGGAUUGCGUCUGAUUAGCUAGUUGGAGGGGUAACGGCCCACCAAGGCGAUGAUCAGUAGCCGGUCUGAGAGGAUGAACGGCCACAUUGGGACUGAGACACGGCCCAGACUCCUACGGGAGGCAGCAGUGGGGAAUCUUCCGCAAUGGACGAAAGUCUGACGGAGCAACGCCGCGUGAGUGAUGACGGCCUUCGGGUUGUAAAGCUCUGUUAAUCGGGACGAAAGGCCUUCUUGCGAAUAGUGAGAAGGAUUGACGGUACCGGAAUAGAAAGCCACGGCUAACUACGUG